Non-coding RNA from Mus caroli (Ryukyu mouse), 956 nucleotides. Lineage: Eukaryota; Metazoa; Chordata; Mammalia; Rodentia; Muridae. The record is from RefSeq and is a predicted model, not a curated record.
CCAUUGAGAAGGCACUUGCUGACGCUAAAGCCCUUGUUGAAAGGUUGAGAGAUCAUGAUGAUGCAGCAGAGUCUCUCAUCGAGCAGACCACUGCCCUCAGCAAGCGAGUGGAAGCGAUGAAGCAGUAUCAGGAAGAAAUCCAAGAACUUAAUGAAGUAGCAAGACAUCGGCCACGAUCCACACUAGUUAUGGGAAUCCAGCAAGAAAACAGACAAAUCAGAGAAUUACAACAAGAGAACAAAGAACUGCGGACAUCCCUGGAAGAGCACCAGUCUGCCCUGGAACUGAUAAUGAGCAAGUACCGAGAGCAGAUGUUCAGACUGCUCAUGGCCAGCAAGAAAGAUGACCCAGGUAUAAUAAUGAAGUUAAAAGAGCAACACUCAAAGGAGUUGCAAGCACAUGUUGACCAAAUCACCGAGAUGGCAGCAGUAAUGAGAAAAGCUAUUGAAAUUGACGAGCAGCAGGGUUGCAAGGAACAGGAGCGGAUAUUUCAACUUGAACAAGAAAAUAAAGGCUUGAGAGAGAUCCUUCAGAUAACUCGAGAAUCCUUUUUGAACCUUCGGAAGGAUGAUGCAUCAGAGAGUACAUCUCUAUCUGCCUUAGUGACUAACAGUGACCUGAGUCUGAGGAAGAGCUGAGUGGCUUUCUGUGUGGUCACUAGAAUGGGCCCAGAAGUGAGUGGAUGUGUGAACAUAAAACCCAACUUCAGUCAGCCUUUUCCCUCUGGUAUGUACAGGGACACUGGCAGAGAGACAGCAGCAGAAAGUAUAACCAGUGGUCAUAAACCAGAUCCCAAUCACAGUCAGAAAGGAGAAGCUGAGCCACAGUGAACAGCGAGUNUUCAAGGUCCUGCUGAGCACUGCAGUUUCAGAAGUGCUGUUGGCUUCUUAGAUGCUACAUAGAUCACCCUGAAUACUCCUAAUAAAUGUUGGAAAGCCUAAAUUAUCACAAUUUUU